Molecule: ribosomal RNA, 404 nt
Filed under: Actinomycetes bacterium
Lineage: Bacteria; Bacillati; Actinomycetota; Actinomycetes
Description: Actinobacteria bacterium partial 16S ribosomal RNA
Rfam family: Bacterial small subunit ribosomal RNA
Source: RNAcentral
UGGGGAAUAUUGGACAAUGGGCGCAAGCCUGAUCCAGCCAUGCCGCGUGAGUGAUGAAGGCCCGAGGGUUGUAAAGCUCUUUCACGGGUGAAGAUAAUGACGGUAACCGGAGAAGAAGCCCCGGCUAACUUCGUGCCAGGAGCCGCGGUAAUACGAAGGGGGCUAGCGUUGUUCGGAUUUACUGGGCGUAAAGCGCACGGAGGCGGACUUUUAAGUCAGGGGGGAAAUCCCGGGGCUCAACCCCGGAACUGCCUUUGAUACUGGAAGUCUUGAGUAUGGUAGAGGUGAGUGGAAUUCCGAGUGUAGAGGUGAAAUUCGUAGCUAUUCGGGGGACCACCAGUGUCGAAGGCGGCUCACUGGACCAUUACUGACGCUGGGGUGCGAAAGCGUGGGGAGCAAACAGG